UGACUGAGAUUUGAAAUUUGAGCAGCUACAGGGGCGUUUAAAGAACAUUGAUUGAGGAUUUGGAAUGAGAGAGAGAUGAGGGUCCUUUGUUGUUAAUUUGGGAUCGAUUGGUGACAGCGGCGCCGUGUCCGGUGGAGGAGUCAGAAUUUCUAAGAGAUAUUCGAGGAAUUGGGCUAGGUUUUGAGGGAAGGCGAUGGUGGAUUUGGGAAGAGAAGAGGGAGGAGAAGUGGUGGUGUUAAUUUGGCGGUCAUCGGAGCUCCGCUGCUGCCGUAGAUAAUUUUCGGCAGGUGACGGACGACGGUGGCCGCGGAGACGGGGGUUCUCUAGGGUUUGCUGGUUGUGAGAGAUAGGGU
This 353-nucleotide long non-coding RNA is filed under the name Nicotiana benthamiana. RNAcentral's name for it is "long non-coding RNA (NBEN_LNC026369)". The record is from RNAcentral. Lineage: Eukaryota; Viridiplantae; Streptophyta; Magnoliopsida; Solanales; Solanaceae.